AAGUAUAAAAUGCUUUAUACUGUGAAACUGCGAAUGGCUCAUUAAAUCAGUUAUAGUUUAUUUGAUGGUACCUACUACUCGGAUAACCGUAGUAAUUCUAGAGCUAAUACGUGCGUAAAUCCCGACUUCUGGAAGGGACGUAUUUAUUAGAUAAAAGGCCGACCGGGUUCUCCCGACUCGCGGUGAAUCAUGAUAACUUCACGAAUCGCAUGGCCUUGCGCCGGCGAUGUUUCAUUCAAAUUUCUGCCCUAUCAACUUUUGAUGGUAGGAUAGAGGCCUACCAUGGUGGUAACGGGUGACGGAGGAUUAGGGUU
RNAcentral lists this ribosomal RNA (314 nucleotides) under Lobochlamys segnis. Its description in RNAcentral is "SSU rRNA". It matches the Rfam family "Eukaryotic small subunit ribosomal RNA", at positions 61 to 377 of the family's 1831-position model. Lineage: Eukaryota; Viridiplantae; Chlorophyta; Chlorophyceae; Chlamydomonadales; Chlamydomonadaceae. The record is from RNAcentral.